AGUUGUCUGAUAUUUCUCCUUUUGUGGUUGUUUUAGGGAAAAACUUAAAAUGGAUAUGAAAAGUGAAGAAAGUGAUCAUAGGAGAAAACCAUUUCAGGUGUCUGAUGAUUUGUGAGCCUCAAGUGACUACUCUGUGGAAUCAUCUGUCCUUGCCUUUGAAUUCGCUUUCCCUAGGCCAUGGGUCAACAUUAGUAGUUUAUACAUCCAAAUUGAUGACAAGAGCACCUCAAAGGCAGCAGCCUCAAGGAGCAGCCAUGGCCCCAGACUUGUCGCACGGAUGCAGAAAACUUAAUGGAGGAGGCUGAGCAAAACAGAGCGUGACACUCCCAAUCAUCUGCAUGCUGGAAAUGAGGAAAUGGUUAUUGAAUGAUACAAGUGCUUUUCGAUCAUUUAGAAAGUUCUGUUUCCCAAGAUCGUUUUUUUUUUUUUUUUUUUUUUUUUUUUUUUUGAGACGGUGUCUUGCUCUGUCACCCAGGCUGGAGUGCAGUGGUGCAAUCUCGGCUCACCACAACCUCCGCCUCCUGUGUUCAACCGAUUCU
RNAcentral lists this long non-coding RNA (539 nucleotides) under Pan troglodytes (chimpanzee). Its description in RNAcentral is "lincRNA". Lineage: Eukaryota; Metazoa; Chordata; Mammalia; Primates; Hominidae. The record is from RNAcentral.